This is a long non-coding RNA of Austrofundulus limnaeus, 1691 nucleotides long. RefSeq lists it as uncharacterized. The record is from RefSeq and is a predicted model, not a curated record. Lineage: Eukaryota; Metazoa; Chordata; Actinopteri; Cyprinodontiformes; Rivulidae. The transcript is spliced from 3 exons.
ACCUGACAGAAAUCAGCUCCUUUAUUGGUCGAAUUUGUCGAUCGUCAUCACUGAGGUCAGCGACCAUUCUUCUAUCUCAUAUCUGAUUGGACGGAUAAGUGUUCCGACGUCACGUCUCUGCCAGCUGAUCGGAGUGAGAAGCCGGUUUGAAGAGCGGAGUUGGACAGAGGAGAGAGACCGGGGAGGAACCUCGAGUGGCGGAGAGCGCACACACACGGGGUGGGACCGGACAAAUGGAUGCACACACACACACACUGACUGGACCGCUUUGUACCGUUUUUCCUGAGCGUUGAAUGUUAACACCGGAGCGGCUCGAUGGGCUUUAUGCCUCCUCCAGUUCGGGGUUUAAACUCCGCCGCGUCUCGUCGAAACCUCUGGAAGAAAGUGACAGAAAGCGAGAGAGAGAGAGAGAACGAUUGAGAGUUAAGGUGUGGCUGAGGAUUUUUUUUUCUGUUCCUAUAUUAUAUAUAUAUAUAUAUUUUUUUUUUUUUUGUAUGGUUCCGGGACUGAAAAUGUUCCAGAACCUAUCUCUGUAGAGAGCGGGCAGCUAUAUAAGCUUUUAAAACCCUUUCAAAAACCGGAUAAUAUUUGGGCUGAACCCAGGCCUAACAAAUCUUUAUCAAACCUCAUCGCUGUGAUUAACCGGACUGUUGCGCACUUAAUACGUCUGAAUCUACACACAKUUACGCGUCGUUCCGAGUUCAUAAAGUGAGUAUAAUAUUACGAACGUGGCAACUUUACGGCAGCCAGCUUUUGACUGAACGCUACGGUCCAGCUGGGCGUGGGGAGGGAGUCUGAAACAGCCCGAAGGAAGUCCUAAACUCUGGGUCUUUACGGCGGCACAAAAUGCGCACAUUUGUCCGGCAACACCUGAGCGAGCCUACGUGGAGCCUCUGGACCGACCGGAACCGAAUAUCUCCAGGUGCAGAUCUUGUCUUCACCCAGAUUUGGCACAAUCAGGAUCUUCCUCCCAGAAAUCUCCACUGGUUUGAUUCUGCGUAAUGAUCUUUCAAGAGAUUUACUUUAGAAGAUGGCGAAGAAGGAAGCAGCCUGUUGGGCCUCUCUGUGCCAAGCAGCAACAGCUACGGCCAAAAGCUGAAGCCAACACGAAAGCGUCUUAAGAUGGAGCAUGUAACAGUUGCUAGAUACUGGCUCCAUCUGCCAAGAAUUCAGUUUAAAAAAUGUCCCAAACAUUUGUCUUUAAGGGGUCAACGCUAUGGACUCAACAACUUUGAGGUUUGAUUUGGAGUUGGUUACAAGUUUUAACAUUUUGUCUACAGGCAGCUGUAAWRUUUCUAUAUUUAAAUUGCAUUUAGUCCAAGCAGUUUAACUCUUACAUUUUCAUUGGCAAAUCCCACACGGAACAGAGAAUAUGAAAUGUCUAAGAAUCCUGCAAAACUGCCAGAAAAGCACAAACUAAAGCGAAAUACUUGUGUGCAAUCUACAAAGCCAAUAACGGUUUUCACUUAUUUGAGUUAUUAUUAGAAUUAAAUCAACAUGUAAAAUGAAAACUCUUUGGUUGACAGCUGAAAAGUGAGUAGUAGUGAAUGUAAAGAAAAAUGCAUACUUUAUGUAUGGUGGUUCGCUGAAGACAACAUACCAAUUCAUAUUUUUAAAUGUAAACUGGCAAAUGUUUCUUUUCAUCUGUGGACAUUUCUUGAUGGAUCAGCUCAUUGGCUGACCUACAGCAG